This 66-nucleotide transfer RNA is filed under the name Diaphanes citrinus. RNAcentral describes it as "tRNA-Ala". The record is from RNAcentral. Lineage: Eukaryota; Metazoa; Arthropoda; Insecta; Coleoptera; Lampyridae.
AGGAUAAUAGUUAAUAUUAACGUUUAAUUUGCAUUUUAAAAAAAAUUGGCUAAACAAUUUAUCUUA